GUGUGUAAAACAUAUCUUAUGUGUUGUGUCUCUUAGCUUGUGAUGUGCACGUGUUGAAUGUGACAUGGUGGUCGGCGGCAUGAGGUGAAGGUCAAGCGAAAGGUUCGUGCCGAUGUAUUAGGGCUGUGAAGGGUAGACACGAGUAGACUUGUACCAAGGGACCUGAGAAGUCCGGGCGGGGUCACGGAUGAUCCACAUGGUGCACGGAAGAGCAAGAGUACACUGGGAUGAAGACGGUGUCGGUCGAGUCAAGCAGGAUGGAGGUGAGUUGAGUAGGCGUCUUCAGAGCCGGGAGUGAAGGACUUGGAGGCGUUGAAAGCUUAGUGGAGGCCGGACACGCGUCGAAAUCGGUGAAUCAUGUCGUGCGAGGUGUGCAACACGCCUGGCGGGGCGUGCGAGAGGGUUCGAGCGGUUUGGCCUCAAAACAGGGGCGAGUC
This 437-nucleotide long non-coding RNA is filed under the name Setaria viridis. Its description in RNAcentral is "long non-coding RNA (SVIR_LNC011451)". Lineage: Eukaryota; Viridiplantae; Streptophyta; Magnoliopsida; Poales; Poaceae. The record is from RNAcentral.